UGUUUACAAGUCCUUUCAAGUGUGAUUA
RNAcentral lists this non-coding RNA (28 nucleotides) under Mus musculus (house mouse). The record is from RNAcentral. Lineage: Eukaryota; Metazoa; Chordata; Mammalia; Rodentia; Muridae.